This is a non-coding RNA of Phrynosoma platyrhinos (Desert horned lizard), 72 nucleotides long. NCBI's taxonomy places the organism in Eukaryota, Metazoa, Chordata, Lepidosauria, Squamata, Phrynosomatidae. The record is from the annotation of a GenBank genome assembly.
GUCAGCAUGACAUAAUGGUUUGAGUGUUGGACUAGGACUCAGACACCAGGGGUUCAAAUCCCCACUCAGACA